AGUGUUCGGUCUCCAGU
This 17-nucleotide microRNA is filed under the name Mus musculus (house mouse). RNAcentral describes it as "mmu-miR-7228-3p". Lineage: Eukaryota; Metazoa; Chordata; Mammalia; Rodentia; Muridae. The record is from miRBase by way of RNAcentral.